RNAcentral lists this unclassified non-coding RNA (280 nucleotides) under Hevea brasiliensis (rubber tree). Lineage: Eukaryota; Viridiplantae; Streptophyta; Magnoliopsida; Malpighiales; Euphorbiaceae. The record is from RNAcentral.
GAAAAACCCUAAUACACAAGGCCCUCUCGCUUAUAUAUAUAAAGUGCGAGCUAGACCUUACAAUAGAAGCCUCGGCGGCGUACUAAACCUCUCAGCUUUCCGUAAGCUUGCCUCACUCUUACUCUCCUUGAGCUUCUCAGCACACGGUUUUAAGUUCCUCCCUAUGUAUGACAGAGGGUGAUUGAAUUUUUUUUGCAGGAGGUAAGUAAAAAUGGCGGUGCCGUUGCUGUCGAAGAAGAUCGUAAAGAAGAGGGUCAAGAAGUUCAAGAGGCCACAGAGU